UGAAAAUGCCUUGAACUAUUCACUGUCGAGAUGGCUAAUCAGUAUUGAGGCUCGAGGGCACUCGGGCAGCUUUUCAAUGCGGUUUUCCUUUCAUCUCAAGCUGGAUGGAGGCGCUCAAUUAAAAGCCUAUCAGUUUGUCAGGCUGGCGAGCUGCAAACCCUGGUCAGGAUCACCCAAAAAACCCGGACUGACUAUUUUUCCCUCGGGAGAGCGAACUGCAGAAACCUCGACACCAGCGUGCCUGCUCUGAGAGCUUGCUCUCUUGCCAUUUAAGUGUCAGCUUCAGUAGAUCAUGUUGGAAAAGGGCGUUUAGUCUUUUAAACGGAACAGCAACAACCCUACAGGCCCUUUAGUUUAGCUUUUUUGUUUGUUUUUUUCUUUCUUCCCCUUUUAUUUUCUUUUCGAACAAGACUAAGAUUUUAAUUAGCAGAAGCAGGGUUGCUGAGUUGUAUCUGGGUUGUGUUUCUGUGUGUAACACAAUUCAGUUACAUGUCUGUCCAUCCGGUUUGUCAAAUUUAUUUCCUUUGAUAGUACUUACAUUUCACUAUCUACCCCAAGGUUUUUAUUAUGAUAUGCAUUGCAAUACAUUUUUGUAGAUGGUCCCUUUUAUUUUUUUUUUUUUUCACAAGAAUGAUAGUACUUCAUAUAAGAAGAUAAGAAAUGUGAUAGGUUGUCAGAAAUACACCACCACGAUUUGGUACAUUUGGAGAGAGGCUUUUUCCCAUUUUUAUUUUUAUUUUUUUUUAAUACGAGACUGCAGGUGCUCAGCUGAUAACUGAUGCAUCUGCCCAGGUGUGCGGCAAAGGUGUGGGGUAUUUAUUCCAGAAUGUUGUUAAAGUAAAUAGUUGGAAAGCUUGCCAACAUGAAGUAAGAUUUCCAAACCUCUCCCCUGUUCGCAUUGUACCUGAAAAUAUUUACCCUUACGAUUGUAAUUACUUUCCUAACACAUAGAAGCAAUAUAUGUUUUACUCUGCAUGAGAUGUAGGUAAUCGUUUUAUAAGCGGUGAUAAUUUCAGAGCCAUCUUCAAAAUAAUAGUCACGUUUAAGCGAACGUGAAUUUUAGUAGUCUGUGGCAUUUUUACUAAACGAGUAGAAAAUCACUUUUGUUUGCUUGUUUGGCUGGUUGCUUACUGCUUUCGGAAACAUAGCUUCACCUAGAAUGUUUUCAAAUACGUUUGUCUAAUUUUGUUCCUUUUGUUACACCGAGAUAAGGAAGAGAUUAAUGCACCUAAUAAUAAAAAAACCCCACCCCAACCUUUCUCUCUUUAGCCCUUUGACAGAUUUCCCUCUUGACAUUGUUUCAUGUGUGAGUGUGAAAAUUUUUACUCCCGUGUCGAAACUCGUUUGCCAACAGCUAUUUUCCAAAUCUACCCUCUUUUAUGUUUAAGGUGUUUCUUAUGCAAACAGCUGUUAUUUAAAAUAUGCCUUAAGGUAACUUUCUAGAGGGAGAGGGAGAGGGAGAGAGCAAGUCAUAUAAUUGCAAUGACACGAGCAAGGCUGGGUAUGUUUCCUGUUAAGUGCAUGGAGAUUUUUAGUGUCAUUUUAUGUUUUUAAACGUACUACGAUUAAAAUCAUCAUGCCCAAA
Haemorhous mexicanus (house finch) is the source of this 1585-nucleotide long non-coding RNA. RefSeq lists it as uncharacterized. The transcript is spliced from 2 exons. The record is from RefSeq and is a predicted model, not a curated record. NCBI's taxonomy places the organism in Eukaryota, Metazoa, Chordata, Aves, Passeriformes, Fringillidae.